Zea mays is the source of this 1537-nucleotide RNA transcript. It is a transcript of the gene named Histone acetyltransferase type B catalytic subunit pseudogene, with no coding region annotated. The transcript is spliced from 5 exons. Lineage: Eukaryota; Viridiplantae; Streptophyta; Magnoliopsida; Poales; Poaceae. The record is from RefSeq and is marked validated.
AGGCAGUCGCGCGGCGGCUCUCCUCCCCGCAGGCAGUCGCGCGGCGGCCUCAUCCCCGCUGGCGAGCCUCCACUCCCCUCCGCCGGAGUCAGGGUUCUCUCAAUUGCGAAUGCUCACUCUUGAGUAAAGGGAUAGGCUAAAGAGCAGCUCCAUCCAGUUCGACGACCAUAGUUUUUGCGAGUGGGUGCACAACCUCAAAUUAGCAAGUACAUGCCUACAUCGUCGACAACUAAAGGCAAUUACUGAGGGAGCUCGGUGGGGAAGACCUAAAGGUGAAGACGCGGAAAAACUCAGGGAGAAGCUGAGGCAGGAGUGCCUGUGGAAGGGGACGGAACUGGCACAUGGGGUGGCUGACGCCCUCUUCGCUGUAUCACCCACCGAGGACCUCGACGGCCCUAUUGUACACCUCCCACCGCCCGCUGUUCGACUCCCGCGCGAGAAGCAUCUUGGUGCUGGGACCUCACUGCCAGGAUUAGUAGCUGCAAAGGUUGGGGCAGAUGUAACACUAACAGACAUCGCGCAGACAUUAUUGUUUCUUUAAUUGCAGGCCACUGGUGCUGUACUACGUGGUCCUGACGUUGCGGGACAGCGUGCACAAGGUCUUCUACGCCGUCGUCGAGGCCGCUGCAGUUCGCGCAGACAACAGCCAUCUUGGAGAUACUUGUGUUGCCACCUUAUCAGGGUGAAGGCUAUGGUCUUGGUCUUCUUGAAGCAAUCAAUUAUAUUGCACAGUCUAAGAACAUUUACGAUGUUACAAUAGAAAGCCCUUCUGAUUCCUUGCAGUAUGUGAGAUCAUCCAUUGACUGCCUCUGUUUGCUCAUGUUUGAUCCGAUCAAACCUGCACUCGGUGCUAUUGUCUCGUCUCUGAAGGAGACCAACCUGUCAAAAAGGGCCCAAAGUUUGAGAAUGGUUCCACCAGCUGACCUGAUGGAGACUAUAUGUCAGAAGCUGAAGAUAAAGAAGAAACAGUUCCUUCGGUGCUGGGAAAUUCUGAUCUUCCUAAGCCUCGACUCUCAGGAUCAUAAGAGCGUGGACAACUUUAGGGCCUGCAUAUAUGACUUCAUGAAGGGGGAGAUCCUUGGCAGUGCCUCUAGAACUAACAGGAAGCGUCUGUUGUAGAUGCCAACCAGUUUCAAUAAGGAGGCAUCUUUUGCUGUGUAUUGGACACAUGAGAUUGGGGAUGAGGAUGAACAAACUGUUGAGCAGCAGCCAGAGGAUCUGAGGACGCAGGAGCAACAGCUCAAUGAGCUCGUGGACAUCCAAAUCGAGGAUAUUGCUGGGGUCGCCAAGAACGUCACUUCACGUGGCAAGGAUAAGAUGGCAGAGCUGGCGGUUCAAUGAAUUUGGGUGAGGUUCCUACUUCAAACGACGUUAAAAUGUUGUCGUAGCUUAUCUGGUGAGGUCUCUUUUACGGGUUGGCUUCUUGGUAGAAAGGGAAUGUCACAGCAUAGGCACUGAGUAGAUUGUCACGGCAGAUUAUUAUGUACUUCAAUUCUGGAAUAUUUGAUGGGAAUGCUAUUUUAGAUUGCUUGGUAAG